AUUGAACGCUGGCGGCAUGCCUAACACAUGCAAGUCGAGCGGAUGAAGGGAGCUUGCUCCUGGAUUCAGCGGCGGACGGGUGAGUAAUGCCUAGGAAUCUGCCUGGUAGUGGGGGAUAACGUCCGGAAACGGGCGCUAAUACCGCAUACGUCCUGAUGGAGAAAGUGGGGGAUCUUCCGACCUCACGCUAUCAGAUGAGCCUAGGUCGGAUUAGCUAGUUGGUGGGGUAAAGGCCUACCAAGGCGACUAUCCGUAACUGGUCUGAGAGGAUGAUCAGUCACCCGGUCACUGAGACACGGCACAGACACCUAGGGGAGGAAGCGGUGGGGAAUCUUAGGCGAUGGGGGAAAGCCUGAUACAGCCCUGCCGGGGGUAUGAAGAAGGUCUUCGGAUUGUAAAGCACUUUAAGUCGGGAGGAAGGGCAGUAAGUUAACACCUUGCUGUUUUGACGUUACCAACAGAAUAAGCACCGGCUAACUCCGUG
This 484-nucleotide ribosomal RNA is filed under the name uncultured bacterium. RNAcentral describes it as "partial 16S ribosomal RNA". It matches the Rfam family "Bacterial small subunit ribosomal RNA", at positions 30 to 507 of the family's 1533-position model. The record is from RNAcentral.